This 468-nucleotide ribosomal RNA is filed under the name uncultured bacterium. RNAcentral's name for it is "partial 16S ribosomal RNA". It matches the Rfam family "Bacterial small subunit ribosomal RNA", at positions 28 to 507 of the family's 1533-position model. The record is from RNAcentral.
GAUGAACGCUGGCGGCGUGCUUAACACAUGCAAGUCGAACGGUGAAGGCGGAGCUUGCUCUGCUGGAUCAGUGGCGAACGGGUGAGUAACACGUGAGCAAUCUGCCCCUGACUCUGGGAUAAGCGCUGGAAACGGCGUCUAAUACUGGAUACGAGCUGCGAAGGCAUCUUCAGCAGCUGGAAAGAAUUUCGGUCAGGGAUGAGCUCGCGGCCUAUCAGCUUGUUGGUGAGGUAAUGGCUCACCAAGGCGUCGACGGGUAGCCGGCCUGAGAGGGUGACCGGCCACACUGGGACUGAGGCACGGCGCAGAGGCCUACGGGGGGCAACGGUGGGGAAUAUUGCACAGUAGGCGAGAGCGUGAUGCAGCGACGCCGCGUGAGGGACGACGGCCUUCGGGUUAUAAACCUCUUUUAGCUAGGAAGAAGCGAAAGUGACGGUACCUGCAGAAUAAGCGCCGGCUAACUACGUG